GGAGCGCCCUACUAAAGAAGACAUUCACUAACUAUAGAAGUGUAUGUGUAUCCGCAUGCACAUACAUGUAGCAAUAUGGGCAUAUGGAUCCCGCGUAGAACAUAUCAUCACCAUUUUUGCAGGAGGUAUCAAAAGACUUAGGUGCUUAUACCUGUGUCUGUAUUGUGAUUAUGGUUCAUUACGGUGAGGAAGGUCGUAAUUGAAUGCAAACGGCAGCUGCUCCAGGCACUUCCUCGCAAGUGAGUGAUCCCCACCAUCGAUAACGUCUACGGCGACUCCACGCAGCGGCUUUCCUGUCGCAGUUGAUGACAUUUUACAGCACAAUCAAUCGUUGAAGCAGGUCCUAAAAGGUCUUCUUGGGCCAGACGCUGGCAGUGUCGCAGGGUUCUGUACGUGCGACUAAUAUCUUCCGAGGAGCUCUCACUGCAGGUGAUUCCGGCUGGAUGGAGGGCGUGUGCAGCGCCGACUUAAAACAAUGUCUCGAUCUUGCUAUCGACUUUUUUUAAAUGACGAAUAUCGCGUUGACUACAACACCUCUGCCUUCAUCUGGCCGAUGUUAAAGCACUUCUGAAGGUACGGAGACAUACUACACGUACGCCUUCAAAGGAAUGCAGGCAUACUACAGG
Long non-coding RNA from Physeter macrocephalus (sperm whale), 626 nucleotides. RefSeq lists it as uncharacterized. NCBI's taxonomy places the organism in Eukaryota, Metazoa, Chordata, Mammalia, Artiodactyla, Physeteridae. The record is from RefSeq and is a predicted model, not a curated record. The transcript is spliced from 3 exons.